Molecule: small nuclear RNA, 331 nt
Filed under: Felis catus (domestic cat)
Lineage: Eukaryota; Metazoa; Chordata; Mammalia; Carnivora; Felidae
Description: 7SK RNA
Rfam family: 7SK RNA
About the family: 7SK was discovered as an abundant small nuclear RNA in the mid-70s but a possible function has only recently been suggested. Two independent studies have found that 7SK RNA binds the CDK9/cyclin T complex (known as elongation factor P-TEFb). P-TEFb activates transcription by phosphorylating the C-terminal domain of RNA polymerase II.
Source: Rfam by way of RNAcentral
GGAUGUGAAGGCGAUCUGGCUGCGACAUCUGUCACCCCAUUGAUCGCCAGGGUUGAUUCGGCUGAUCUGGCUGGCUAGGCGGGUGUCCCCUUCCUCCCUCAUUACUCCAUGUGUGUCCCUCCCGAAGCUGUGCGCUACGUUGAAGAGGACAACCUUCCCCAAUAGAGGAGGACUGUUCUUCGGUCAAGGGUAUACGAGUAGCUGUGCUCCCUUGCUAGAACCUCCAAACAAGUUCUCAAGGUCCAUUUGUAGGAGAACGUAGGGUAGUCAAGCUUCCAAGACUCCAGACACAUCCAAAUGAGGUGCUGCACAUGGCAGUCUGCCUUUCUUU